RNAcentral lists this transfer RNA (58 nucleotides) under Salmo salar (Atlantic salmon). It matches the Rfam family "tRNA", at positions 8 to 63 of the family's 71-position model. Rfam says of the family: Transfer RNA (tRNA) molecules are approximately 80 nucleotides in length. Their secondary structure includes four short double-helical elements and three loops (D, anti-codon, and T loops). The record is from Rfam by way of RNAcentral. Lineage: Eukaryota; Metazoa; Chordata; Actinopteri; Salmoniformes; Salmonidae.
UGGCUCAAUUGGUAGAGCAUGGCGCUUGCAACGCCAGGGUUGUGGGUUCGAUUCCCAU